This 2174-nucleotide long non-coding RNA is filed under the name Panax ginseng (ginseng). Its description in RNAcentral is "long non-coding RNA (PGIN_LNC018114)". The record is from RNAcentral. Lineage: Eukaryota; Viridiplantae; Streptophyta; Magnoliopsida; Apiales; Araliaceae.
CUUUCCAAAAACUUAAGAAACAUUUUUAAUAUUUUAUUACUAUAUAUCUUUGCACACUUGUAAAAAAGUAAAUGUUACACCAACAUUUGAAUUACCCAACUAAAACCUUGAUUGCAUACAUCCAAAUCAUAUAAAUGGAACCACUAUCUCACGUAAACGUAGACACCACAUAUCAAUUGUAUUACAACAAGAAAAUGUGAUACAAUCAUUACAUAUUUAAAUGGUACUAUACAAAUUUGAUCAACUUGAACUGGAGCACUGAUAACAUUGUUGCAUAUGUAUCUGACUGCGCUUCAAAUAUAUAGUUCAAAAUGAUCAACUUGGAGUGGAACAUCUUCCUGAACGAUAUUUGGCUCCACAACAACUGUCUCCUCAUUUACACUGUUUGGAAGCUUAUCUAAAAUCUCUGAAUUAUCAGGAUAAAAUCUUUGGGCUGAAGCUUUCAAGGCAGCAUUGAGUGGAACAAAGUCCAUCUUGAGAUUUUUGUUCUCCUCCUUUGCUUAUCUGAAAUCUCUGAAGUAAAAAAUUCUUUGGGUUGAAGCUUUAAAGGAAGUAUUUAGUUCAAGAUUUUUGUUCUUGUUUAAGGUUGCAACGCCUCUUUUUAGGCUAUCCACUAAGUCAUUUGCUUAUGCUUUGGUGAAAUCAACAACAAUUUUAGACUUCAACUUUUGCACAAUCAACAACUUCAAAAUUGGGUUCAUUAGGCUCAGUUUGUUGCUUGACUUCCUUGAUCUCAUUUUCAACUACAAUUUCAGCAUGCUCAUAUUGAUUGAUGUUUGGGUUUGGUUUGAAGCUUGUGCCUUCGGCCUGCUCAAUAGUAUUAUUAGUCACUAGAGGAACUUUGUAAUUUUUCUUGGUAGUUGACACUUGACAAGCACACUUUGCCUUGUCGACAUCUAUGUUAUAAGUGUUGCCAACCUCACAAUGAUCUCUCUUAAAAUGAUACAUCCACGACUUACUAAGCAAUACAUGACAACAUUCAUAAGCAGAAAAUAACACUAAGCAUGACGUGUAGGAUCCAAAGGUGAUUGGGACAUGACAACCUAACUCUGCUACAAAAUACAAGACAGCAAUCAUGAAGCUUGAAAUUGCAUAAAACAACUGACAAAACAAAGAGAAAUAACUAGGGGGAGAUUUCGCAUCUCAGAACCCCUAGGAUCCACAACCACAAAAGAGUAUAUAAUUAAUCACAAUCAGCUGAAUAAAUUCUCAACAUCAAUAAUAAUCUGCACAAAGUUAACAAGCAAUACUAGCAUUUCAUAGAGAUCAAAUAAUAGCUUUCCAAACCAAUAUAAGAACGGAACUCUAAAUAGAAUAAAACACUGAAUAAUAAAAAUACUAACUAAUUAGAUAAAUACUAAAUAAAUAACUAGUUAACUAGUAGCAAUGACUACUCUAGUAAUAUCUAAUAAUAUAAACAAAAUGAUUUCUUUCCAAGCACAGAUAGAAUUUUCUGCUCAUUUAUCUCUUUGUACCCCAUCAAGAAGCACCUCUGACAUUUUUUAGUAGUACCCUCAUCCGGGGAAGAAUUUUGUAAAUUUAAAGUUAAUGUGAUUCAUUUAAAUUUUAAAUAUAAUAAAUCUUUAUAAUUAUUAGUACUAGAUGGUUUACAAUAUUUGUAUUAUCUAAAACUAAAGGAAUUCAUAUCAAUUUUGAAUUUAAAAAUAUCUCAAAUCCACUUUUUGAUGGAGUAUACAAUUAAUGUAUAUAUAGCAGUUACAAAAAUACAAUUUUAUUUAAAUACUCAUGGCAAUUUCACUUGCUUCAAAAUUCAAUUAGAUUUUGAAAUCAAUACUCAAUUAAAGACACAAUAGAAUCAAUCAAAAACUCAGUUAAACAAUAUAUUAUGAUAAGAAUGCACAAAAUACAGGUAAAAAAUAUACCUUGCAAUCAGUCACCAAAUCCAUCUCUUUACUUCAACAAAAAAUCAAUGCAUACUCUAAGAAAUAUCAAUGUGCGAGCGUGAUUAUAUCAGUCCUUGAAUUGUAUAAUCAACAAUCAAACCCUGAAACCAGGAAUCAUCAAAUUCGAAUAGAUUACUACUUAACACAACUGAGUAUUGAAAGAUAAUCAAAACGAACAAUGAGUACAUAUGAUUGAGGAGAAACUGUAUCAUAUAUAUAUAUAUAUAUAUAUAUAUAUAUACAUAUAUAUUCUGUUCUGAGUCUUCUUGC